RNAcentral lists this long non-coding RNA (253 nucleotides) under Lathyrus oleraceus (garden pea). RNAcentral's name for it is "Pisum sativum (pea) long non-coding RNA (PSAT_LNC011078)". The record is from RNAcentral. Lineage: Eukaryota; Viridiplantae; Streptophyta; Magnoliopsida; Fabales; Fabaceae.
AAAAAUCAAUUAAUUCACAAAAAAUAUCAAAAAAAAAAUCCAAAAAAAAUAUUCUAAUUCAAAAUAUGGAAGAGGAAAAUAUUUUAAGAUUUUUGGUGAAAGUCCCAUAUUUUUUUGAUUAAAAAUGAAUUUAAUAUGAAUUAAUCAAAAUAAAUGGAUUAAAAGGAAAAUCAGAAAAUAAAAAGAAAUUAUAAAAAACAAGGGUCAUCAGAUCUCCCUCAUUAAUUGAGGUGGCAGAUUUGAUGGCCACGCG